GAGCCGUGUGAUAAGCACAGAGCGAACUAUUCUUUCGCCUUUUACUAAAGAAUAACGUGCGCUUGUCAAUUUAUAGCAGCAUACGCCUAUUUUUGGAGGGGUUUUUCCUUUGUGAAACU
Cornus florida is the source of this 119-nucleotide small nuclear RNA. RefSeq annotates it as U5 spliceosomal RNA. Lineage: Eukaryota; Viridiplantae; Streptophyta; Magnoliopsida; Cornales; Cornaceae. The record is from RefSeq and is a predicted model, not a curated record. The transcript has a single exon.